GGGGUUGUAACUCAUCUGAUAGAGUACUUGCCUGGCAUGCCUGAAGCCCUGGGUUCAAUACCCAGCACCUCA
This 72-nucleotide transfer RNA is filed under the name Mesocricetus auratus (golden hamster). It matches the Rfam family "tRNA". Rfam says of the family: Transfer RNA (tRNA) molecules are approximately 80 nucleotides in length. Their secondary structure includes four short double-helical elements and three loops (D, anti-codon, and T loops). Lineage: Eukaryota; Metazoa; Chordata; Mammalia; Rodentia; Cricetidae. The record is from Rfam by way of RNAcentral.